Molecule: ribosomal RNA, 122 nt
Filed under: Danio rerio (zebrafish)
Lineage: Eukaryota; Metazoa; Chordata; Actinopteri; Cypriniformes; Danionidae
Source: RNAcentral
GACAACUGUGCUGGCAGCAGCUCUCUGCAGCUCUCACAUGGUCACCCACUGAAGCUAAGAAGGCUGAGCCUGAUCAGUGUCUGGAUGGGAGACCACCUGGAAACACUAGGGUACUAUUGGCA